AGGACAUGCCUUACCUGAGGCCCGCGGUGGCGCUCGUGCUCGCCUUCGUCGGCGUGAAAAUGGUGCUCGAGUUCUUUCACUUCGGCAUUCCCAUCGCCGUUAGCCUCGGCAUCGUCUUCCUUCUCUUGUC
RNAcentral lists this non-coding RNA (130 nucleotides) under uncultured eukaryote. The record is from RNAcentral.